Molecule: ribosomal RNA, 472 nt
Filed under: uncultured bacterium
Lineage: Bacteria
Description: bacterial SSU rRNA
Rfam family: Bacterial small subunit ribosomal RNA
Source: RNAcentral
UGGGGAAUAUUGGACAAUGGGGGGAACCCUGAUCCAGCCAUGCCGCGUGUGUGAAGAAGGUCUUCGGAUUGUAAAGCACUUUAAGUUGGGAGGAAGGGCAGUUACCUAAUACGUGAUUGUUUUGACGUUACCGACAGAAUAAGCACCGGCUAACUCUGUGCCAGCAGCCGCGGUAAUACAGAGGGUGCAAGCGUUAAUCGGAAUUACUGGGCGUAAAGCGCGCGUAGGUGGUUAGUUAAGUUGGAUGUGAAAUCCCCGGGCUCAACCUGGGAACUGCAUUCAAAACUGACUGACUAGAGUAUGGUAGAGGGUGGUGGAAUUUCCUGUGUAGCGGUGAAAUGCGUAGAUAUAGGAAGGAACACCAGUGGCGAAGGCGACCACCUGGACUGAUACUGACACUGAGGUGCGAAAGCGUGGGGAGCAAACAGGAUUAGAUACCCCCGUAGUCCCUGAGCGGGCUGGCAAGGCGCAU